This 438-nucleotide ribosomal RNA is filed under the name uncultured bacterium. RNAcentral's name for it is "partial 16S ribosomal RNA". It matches the Rfam family "Bacterial small subunit ribosomal RNA", at positions 355 to 785 of the family's 1533-position model. The record is from RNAcentral.
UAGGGAAUCUUCCACAAUGGACGCAAGUCUGAUGGAGCAACGCCGCGUGAGUGAAGAAGGCUUUCGGGUCGUAAAACUCUGUUAUUGAAGAAGAACGUGUGUGACAGUAACUGGUCAUGCAGUGACGGUAUUCAAUCAGAAAGUCACGGCUAACUACGUGCCAGCAGCCGCGGUAAUACGUAGGUGGCAAGCGUUGUCCGGAUUUAUUGGGCGUAAAGCGAGUGCAGGCGGUCUUUUAAGUCUGAUGUGAAAGCCUUCGGCUUAACCGAAGAAGGGCAUCGGAAACUGGGAGACUUGAGUGCAGAAGAGGAGAGUGGAACUCCAUGUGUAGCGGUGAAAUGCGUAGAUAUAUGGAAGAACACCAGUGGCGAAGGCGGCUCUCUGGUCUGUAACUGACGCUGAGGCUCGAAAGCNGUGGUAGCAAACAGGAUUAGAUAC